This 372-nucleotide long non-coding RNA is filed under the name Setaria italica (foxtail millet). RNAcentral's name for it is "long non-coding RNA (SITA_LNC001653)". Lineage: Eukaryota; Viridiplantae; Streptophyta; Magnoliopsida; Poales; Poaceae. The record is from RNAcentral.
CGCCUCUUCUCCCCUCGUCGGCGUUGUCGUUCGGGCUGCUCGCGUAGCUAGUCCUGUCGAUUCCGUCGCGGCGCCUGCUGUCCUGGCGACAGUCAAGCGUGUUCCUGCUGCUUCACCUUCCUCUCCGACCGUUCUUGUUCCUCGCCGCCGGCACCUGCGCUUUGGGCUCCAUCCUGGAGUACGUGCCCGGCGACGAGGAGGGCGUGCAGCAUCCCGGGAGCUUCAACUUGGAUCCUCCUGCAUGCAGUCAAAGUUCCGUGACCCAUCCACGUCUGCAAGCAGGGGCCUACACGAUGUUGCAGAACACGAAGAGCUCGUUGUCUACUUGUCUCCACGAAGCUUCAGUACGGCUACAGUUAUUCAGCACCUGCG